GAAAUUUAAGGGCGUACGGUGGAUGCCUAGACUAAAAGAGGCGAUGAAGGACGUAGCGUAACUGCGAUAAGCUUCGGGGAGGCGUGUAGCGGCCAUUAUAUCCGGAGAUUUCCGAAUGGGGAAACCCUAUCGAGUAAACCUCGAUAAUUCCGAGCGCAAGCUUGGAGAGCAAACCCUGGGAAGUGAAACAUCUCAGUACCAGGAGGAAAAGAAAAAAAUAUUUAUUUCCUAAGUAGCGGCGAGCGAAAAGGAAAAAGCCCAAAUCCAGCUCUAAUUUUGACACUGACAAUAAAUCAUUACUUUAACUUAUAUUUUCCUUUAAGUUUUUGUGAUGAAAUAAUUUCGGUUUCAGAAUUAGGGCUGGAGGUUGUAAGAUGACGAUAUAGAUUUAUCUAGAAGAGUCAAAAAAUAAGUUAUUAGCUUAAGUUGCUGGAAAGCGACACCAUAGGGGGUGAUAGUCCCGUGAGCGAAAAUAAUUUAUCUCUUUUAUUGUUAUUCUUGAGUACCUCAGGACACAAAUGGCCGGGGGGAAUCUGCCGGAACUAACCGGCAAGGCUAAAUACUCUUUUAGAUCGAUAGUGAACUAGUACCGUGAGGGAAAGGUGAAAAGCAGCCCGGUUAGGGCGGUGAAAUAGACCUGAAACCGUAUGUCUACAAGGAGUUGGAGUGGUGAGUUUAUUCGAACCACGACAGCGUGCCUAUUGAAGAAUGAGCCAACGAGUUUAUGCAUGUUGCUGGCUAAGCUGACUAAAACAGUGGAGCCAAAGGGAAACCGAGUGUGAAUAGCGCGCAAUUGGUAAUAUGCAUAAGACCCGAAGCCAGGUGAGCUUGCCAUGAGCAGGAUGAAGUAGGUCGAAAGACUUAUGGAGGUCCGAACGGGUAGAUCGUACAACGUCUUCCGAUGACUUGUGGUAAGGAGUGAAAAGCUAAUCGAACCUGGUAAUAGCUGGUUCUCUCCGAAAUAGCUUUAGGGCUAGCGUCAAGUAUUUUCUCUGGGGGUAGAGCACUGGAAGGUUCGGACAGGCCGAAAGGUCGCUGAACCUAUCAAACUCCGAAUACCAGAGAUAUUAAUUUGGCAGUUACACCGUGGGGGCGAAGCUCCACUGGUGAAAAGGGAAACAGCCCGGAUCUCUAUAUAAGGUCCCUAAAUUCAUGCUAAGUGUAAAACAAGAAGGUAAAGUUUCUUAAACAAUGAGGAGGUUGGCCCAGAAGCAGCCAUCCUUUAAAGAUAGCGUAACAGCUCACUCAUCUAGAGAUUUUGCGUCGAAAAUAAUUGGGGCUAAGCAUGGUACCGAAUGUGAGGGUGGGUCGCCGUCGCGUAAGCUAUGGCGGGCCGCGGUAGGAGAGUGUUCCGCUCUGCGAUGAAGUGGGACCCGUGAGGGCCCAUGGAGCGUGCGGAAGCAAAAAUGUUGGCACAAGUAACCGCAAUGCGGCUGAGAACGCCGCACGUCGAAAGAUCAAGGUUUCCUUGGUAAUGUCAAUCAGCCAAGGGUUAGUCGGGCCUAAGGGAAUGGCGAAAGCCGUACUCGAUGGACAAGAGGUUAAUAUUCCUCUACUUUUAUAUUUUGCGACGGGAAGACGGAGUGGAAUAUGCAUCGCUCAUUAUUGGAUUUGAAGUUUGUUUAUCACGUAUGCUCUGUAGGAAAAUCCGCAGACUGCCUUUGAUGGCGAAUAUGGGGUAAAUGAAAAGCUUCCCAGCCCCACUUUUGCGAAUCAGUUCGUAAAGUGGUAAAAACCUUUUUUAUGCACAAUAUAUCUUAGAAAUAAGAUUGAGUGGUAAAAGUGGGGCUGGGGGGCUAUGGUGCAAAAGACGCUUCCAAGAAAAUUCUCUAAGCUUAAAGAUAUAAAAUCCGUACCGCAAACCGACACAGGUGAUCAGGUCGAGUAGACCAAGACGAACGAGUGAGUGGUCCCCAAGGAACUCG
This 1925-nucleotide ribosomal RNA is filed under the name Candidatus Nomurabacteria bacterium RIFCSPHIGHO2_01_FULL_41_71. RNAcentral describes it as "bacterial LSU rRNA". It matches the Rfam family "Bacterial large subunit ribosomal RNA", at positions 1 to 1716 of the family's 2925-position model. The record is from RNAcentral. Lineage: Bacteria; Candidatus Nomuraibacteriota.